RNAcentral lists this ribosomal RNA (463 nucleotides) under uncultured bacterium. RNAcentral describes it as "partial 16S ribosomal RNA". It matches the Rfam family "Bacterial small subunit ribosomal RNA", at positions 28 to 507 of the family's 1533-position model. The record is from RNAcentral.
GAUGAACGCUGACAGAAUGCUUAACACAUGCAAGUCGAUGGGGAAGUGGUGCUUGCCCCAUGGCAACCAUGGCGGACGGGUGAGUAACGCGUAAGGGACUUACCUGCAGGACUGGGAUAACAGGGGGAAACUCCUGACAAGACCGGAUAAUGUCAUGGAGCUGCAUGGCUUUAUGAUGAAAGGAGACGCCUGCGGAGAGCCUUGCGUCCUAUUAGCUAGUUGGUGAGGUAAUGGCUCACCAAGGCGAAGAUAGGUAGCCGGCCUGAGAGGGUGGACGGCCACAAGGGGACUGAGAUACGGCCCUUACUCCUACGGGAGGCAGCAGUGGGGAAUAUUGGACAGUGGGGGCAACCCUGAUCCAGCAAUUCUGUGUGCACGAAGAAGGUUUUCGGAUUGUAAAGUGCUUUCAGCAGGGAAGAAGUAAGUGACGGUACCUGCAGAAGAAGCGACGGCUAAAUACGUG